AGACAGAGCAAAGAGAAAAAGGAAAGCUGAACUGUGCUGGAAAAAGACCAUGGCUCAAACAUUAGAGAGCCAGAGUCAUUUUAUCAAUAAGUACAUAGAUCUGCUCACGCAGGAUUCAGAGGAUCUGGACGCCUCAGCCUCUACAUCAGCAGAGCAUAGGUACCUAAGCAUGCUCGUAGUGACGCAGCGUUCUUAAUAAGUCAACUUGUAUUGUAUUCUCAAUAUCCAGUCAGUACAUUUAUGUCAGUAAAUGCAUGCAUCAACACUUCCUUGACUUUGCUGAGCAGUUGUCUGUUCUUUGUCCUAAAAGUUCUUGCAUAUAAUGGUGGUCUUCACAUAACAUAAGUAAAUUCCCAUCCUUAAACUCUUUAUCUUGCAUAUUCAUUUCGAGCAUUUUCUGUUGGGGUAAAUGAGUAGAGAGGAUCCUAGGCCAUUUUUAGCAAUUUCCUGGUGAGUAAAAAAAGAUGAACCCAUUUAUUCAACAUUGAUUAUUUUAACAAAUUCAGAGGGACCUUAACAUAAAAUUACGGUUAUAGUGUACUUGUAACCAUCCGUCUCUGCUUGGUACAGCCCCAGUUCAUGUGACGGUGCUCUGGUGUGUGUGGGACCUCGUCAUUGGCGUGCCAGAGGAGGAGAGAAGAGGCAGAUGGAGAUGUGUAUCCUGUGUCACGAAGCGCAGGAGAUCCUACCUGAUGGCGCCGUCAUGGUGCUCGCUGCCUUUGUCCAACGCUCUACGGUCAUGUCCGAGAACCGCAAAAGACCCCCUCACAAUCCAGGUAAGGUUAUGGUUUACAGUGUGCAAGUCAAGUAAUUGGAUAGGUUUGAGUAGCCAGUGUGCUUAUUUCUGGAGGAUACAUGUGUGUUCCAGAGAGCUGUGAUCCCCUCUUCAUGCACCCUGACCUGUCCUUUGGUACCCAUACCGGCAGCUGUGGCCACAUCAUGCACUCUCACUGCUGGCAGAGAUACUUUGAGACACUCCAGAGUCAGGAUGCGCAGUGGCUGCAUGAGCAAACCAGUUACGAUGUAGAGAAUGGGGAGUACUUGUGUCCACUCUUUACAGCAAUAGUGAGCAGCCAGGUCUGGCUCAUUGGCUGAAUACAACGUAUAUAAGCAGAUCAGAGCCUUGCACUCUGCUCAUAAGAGAGCCAAGCCAACAAAUGCUGGUGAGACAGAGACUGUGGAGGACUCUCCUCCUCCUGAGAGUUUCAGGCUGGACCACACACCAGUCAACCCUUAUUCAAGCUCCAUAAGGGAGAUGCUGAUGACAUUUGGGACCGCCACUUAUAAAGUUGGCCUUAAGGUGCACCCUAAUGAGCAGGACCCCCGUGUGCCUAUUAUGUGCUGGGGUAGCUGUUCUUACACCAUCCAGUCUAUAGAGAGAUUAUUGGUAGAUGAGGAGAAGCCUUUGUUUGGAAGUUUACCCUGUAGACAGGUAUGACAACCCAACUUAUUGUCAUAUCUCAGCCCAGCCAGGACUCGGUUUCCCGAGAAGCAACACGGUAUUCUACUGUGUUUAUUCGAUAAGUGACUUUGGCCUUUGCUUACGUCCCCGACCACGAUUUCUGUCUUACCCCGUUUGUUUUGUUUGCAUUAUCGCCUGACCCUCGCUUGCUUCUUGACUACGGACUGUGCUCACCCCUCUGGAUUAUACUGCUAUCCUCAUCUGGGUAACAACAGACAGUGUGAAAAAGUUCAUUAUGGAUUUAUAUGAAGUCUGUAUGGCGUUAGGAGCAGCCGUAGUCCCAGCAGUCUGGAAUUAAGGAAGAUUUGAGCUCCAUCCAGAGGCAGAAAGGAUCUGGAUCUCUAGUAUCUCCAUAAAUUUGUGUGGGGCUCGGCGAAAGGAGAGAGGGAGAAAAAAGAUAAUUAUGACUGCGAAGUAGUAGAACAGAAUCUAGUCAGGGUAGGCUUGAGUAAACAAAUAUGUUUUAAGCCUAGACUGAAACACUGAGACUGUGUCUGAGU
This is a long non-coding RNA of Ictalurus punctatus (channel catfish), 1962 nucleotides long. RefSeq lists it as uncharacterized. NCBI's taxonomy places the organism in Eukaryota, Metazoa, Chordata, Actinopteri, Siluriformes, Ictaluridae. The record is from RefSeq and is a predicted model, not a curated record. The transcript has 6 exons.